This is a small nucleolar RNA of Metopolophium dirhodum (rose-grain aphid), 70 nucleotides long. NCBI's taxonomy places the organism in Eukaryota, Metazoa, Arthropoda, Insecta, Hemiptera, Aphididae. The record is from RefSeq and is a predicted model, not a curated record.
UAUUAAUGAUGAGUUUUUUUUUGUCAGUUCUGCUACUGAAUGUGAAUGACGAAAAUUUUUAUUCUGAAAA